This 111-nucleotide long non-coding RNA is filed under the name Naja naja (Indian cobra). RNAcentral describes it as "lncRNA (ENSNNAG00000011310.1)". Lineage: Eukaryota; Metazoa; Chordata; Lepidosauria; Squamata; Elapidae. The record is from RNAcentral.
CACGGGAGGAGGUUGGCGUCGUCGGAGUCUCUUGUGCUGCUUGGAGGGUCGAAGCGGCUCCUGGGAGGGUUAUGAAGCUGGCAAUCCUUUAAGGCUGCACAUAUAAAGAAG